CACUCGCCAUGCGCCACACCCACACACAAUAAUAACCCUCCAUCGCCCUCAAAAACGACGCUAACUAACCAAGAAAUCACCAAUUUACCGUCACUAAAAGUAAUAAUCAACCCGCUAAAACUCACAUUUCCCUCUUCAUCUUCGUCGUCUUCAAGCUUUCCAUCUCCGUUUCGGCAUCUCUUCCCAUUUCCCUCAGGUAAAUCCUCUCGCAACGUCGGAAUUUCACUCACUCUUUGACUUACUCCGUGAACCUUCUUCUACUGUAACUUCGUUCAUUCUUCUAUGGCUGGGUUCUUCUUUUCUUGAGUACUAAUAGUUGAGAUAGUUCGUGAAAAAACUCCGACGGAUCUUUGACCAGUUUCUUUCCGUUGAAAAGUCUUUAGUAAGUUGCUUUGAAUUUAGGUUGAUGUAUACUUACUUGCGCUUUUGCUUGAUUGAAUUUUAUUUUUUCAUGAUGUCGAUUCUUGAUUUGCAGUUACGGUAGUGUUUCUCGAUUGCUUGGAAGGCUAAGAACCCUAUUUGUCUACUUCUGGAUCUUGUUUGGCUGCUUCUUUGUUUGGAAUGCUCAAUUUCGAUUUGUUUUUUCCAGGGUUUGAUAAUUGAUUCAACGGAAGUGAUUGUGUUGACGUCUUGAGUUCUUGAGUGAAGUGUAAGCUACUAUGAAUUGUGCAGUAGGAAACUGUUCAUAUGAGACCAACGACUCUUUCGUGGAGAAAGUCUUGGCUACUGGACCAUUGUCUGAAAUCAAACAGCCGAAAGCCACCAAGGCUAAGAAUCGCAAGUCUUACAGGAGGAACAUGGUUGCUGUUCCAGAUUCCAGUAAUCAUCAUAAUGGAUAUGGAGAUUCCUGUGUAGGUAAAGGGCAGGAGAAUUGCUUGAAGAAUCAGUGGAGUAGUGU
This 898-nucleotide long non-coding RNA is filed under the name Linum usitatissimum (flax). RNAcentral describes it as "long non-coding RNA (LUSI_LNC002126)". The record is from RNAcentral. Lineage: Eukaryota; Viridiplantae; Streptophyta; Magnoliopsida; Malpighiales; Linaceae.